UGGUGUAUUGCUGCAGGGUUGCCUCAAGUACCAUUUAGCCUUAGAAAGAAUCCUGAAAUGGGUUUCAUCAGCAUGUUAUAUAUUAGAUAUGCAUGAACAGUGUCAAUGCACUAAUUGGUUCGAGUGCUAACCUGAAAGGAAGAUAAUGUUGGUUCUCAAAUAGUUGAUCUAUAGAUGCAUUGAUAUAUAGUCAUAUCUGCGGCUAUAUCUGUACAAUGGUUUCAUGUGCUGAACUAUUAGGGAAAAGAUUCUCCAAGUGUUGCAAAAAGAUGAGAUGUCUCAAUUUAUUUAUAACUCAAUUACGUUACUUAAAUCUUGAUGUAUGGACCAAACAGCAUCUUGAUAAAAUUUUUAGUUGUCAUGAUUCAUGGUCUAGUGCUAAAUAUGCCAAAAAAAAUAAAAAGGGAAAAUAAACCUCAUGAUUCAUGUUUAGCAGAUGCUCACACUCAGAUUAACGUGCAGUGGGAGUUGUGAUCUCAUAUUCAAAAUCUCUCAACUCUCUGAAGUUUCUCUACCCCAAAUUUGUUGAUGUAUCUUUUCUUUGUGUUUUGGCAAGUUGUGUAUUUUUUGCAUAUAUAUUUGUGCUUAUGAGUUAACUGAAUGGAUAAAGUGUAAAAUUCAUUAAUAGAAUUGGGUUUGCAAUCGAUCAAUACUAAAAUAAUUAGAAAUAACUAUUAAAUUAGUUAAAUCUUAAUGUUUAUAAUUGUUUUAACAUGUUUAGUCUCUUACAGUGUUAUAGUUUUAUUCUAUGGAUCCUUUUCGGGUUUAAGCUCUCUGGAAUUAUAGUGCAUAUCCUUUGGUGGUUGCCGUUCGUUAGUCUCGGUCUGUUCCGAUGUUGUCUGGCACUUUCACUAGCUACGGCUUAAUGGGGCAUUAUCUGUGGACCUGUUGGAGGCGAACCGCGGAAGUUGCAUAAAAGGCAGAGAAUGAGGUGAUGGAUCUUGAAACAUAUUUGCUAUAUAAAUAUUGCAUCCUGUGACGGGGAUUUGCAAGCUCACCAACGAGAAAUCUUUCCAUCAAUCGAGCUCCAAGAAGGAAAUUUAUGAAGAAAGGGUACUUGUUAGUGACUCUGUCAGUACAAUCUCCUUUCUACAGGUCUAGAUUUUUUCCCCUCACCAAAUGAGCAGCAGCGGUGGCGGUUUCUUUUCAUGUGUAAGCCAAUGGAUCGUUUUUUUAUGGGGCUACAAGCUUGCUUCGAUGCAGGAAUUUUACACACCCAUUUAC
RNAcentral lists this long non-coding RNA (1224 nucleotides) under Ricinus communis (castor bean). Its description in RNAcentral is "long non-coding RNA (RCOM_LNC000339)". Lineage: Eukaryota; Viridiplantae; Streptophyta; Magnoliopsida; Malpighiales; Euphorbiaceae. The record is from RNAcentral.